Molecule: long non-coding RNA, 2343 nt
Organism: Lolium rigidum
Lineage: Eukaryota; Viridiplantae; Streptophyta; Magnoliopsida; Poales; Poaceae
Exons: 11
Source: RefSeq, a predicted model, not a curated record
ACGACCGGCUACUGUCCGGACCACUGCAGGCCGCCUCCACAAGCCGCUGAGGUGAGCACCACGGUGGCCCAUCCUACUGAUCCCUUCACAUCACGGCCUUUCCUCUCGUGCUAAUGGAGUGCUGCGUUUUUGUUUCUCUCUAAGUGUAUACAUGUGUGGGGUGAAAAUCCUAGAAAAGCUUGGGAUGGUGGUGCUGCUCGAGGAGGCGGCGGCGGUUUUGGGAGCGGCGACAGCUUGCUCUACUACUCGGACGACGAUGGCUGGAACGGAUACAGGAUGUUUCUGGGAGGCACUAAAAUGGAUACGAAUCAUGCCAUGAACCCUUCAGGACCACAGAUGGAAGUGCUGCUACACGGGCAAACUGCCGGUGCUGAUGGGAGGAGCUCGCCCUGGCAUUGGGGAGGCACAUAGGUCGAGAUUGGGGUCUUCUGCCCAGGCCGCUGCUGCCAGCAACACUGCCCUUGAGCUUUUGCUCCGGCCACAGUUUCGACCACCCGCUCAUGCUACCGACUACGUCCAUGAGUUGCUGCUAACGUCCACCACUCUGACCUGCUUCUGAUGCCUGAUGAGUUGAUACUGGAGCUUGGACCAUACAUUGAGGAGCUCAAGAAUACACAUGGUGCUAUUUUUGAAUUUGGAAAUUCGAAGUAAUUGUUCUGCGCAUUUGCUCCAAGGAUUUCCCUUUUUACACUGCUAUUUGUUUUUUGAAUGGAAACAUUGCUAAUGUGCAUCAAGUAUGUGUCUAAUUUCUAUUCCCGCUGUGUAAGUUCUUAGAUUGUUUAUAUCAGUGGUCAUUGGAGGUUGAGACAAUGAAGUUGCUCCUGGUUUUGCUAUGUUUUUUUAACCCAAUUUACUUGUGAAUGCUUGUCUCUUCCAUUUCUUUAUGCAGCACUUGUGAUAAUAAUAGUUCCUCUUGUUGUUACUGACUCCAAUUGGUGUACACAAAGUCUCAGAAAAGGUUCUGCUUGGUUUGGUGUAGGUGGAGGUGCUUCAACUCUGCCUCGAGGACAUCGUGGCCCGGCCUUGGUUAAAACCUUUAUGGUUCUGCCGCUUGGGUCUGGUGCACUUCCUGAUGUGUAUCGGUGUUGAGGUCGACGGUGCGGCAUGUCCUACCAUCGUCACCCAGCAUGCUCUCGCGGUGUUGCUGCUGCGCUGGCUUUUGCCCGUGUGAUAUUGUUUCAAAGAAUUCUUGUAGUAUGCUUGGGUCCAAUGGCUGUCCGUGGCCUCCUGUGCGUAUAUGCCAGUGCAAUGACGGCAAGUUCACCAUGGCUGGUUCCUUGACUUCAGCGUGAUGGUUUAGGUUGUACCUAGUUCUUUGUGUUUCUGCAGUAGGGAAUGCAUCCCAUAUAUGUAUUAGACUUGUCAACUCAGAGAAAGUUCAUCUAUCGAAGUGACCGAGGAGAGCUGCGAUGCAUCCCAGGAAGCGAAUGUCAUGUCCAUCGAGGCAAUUUUAGCAGGAUGUUGAUCAUCUUACGAAGGAGAUCCUGCUGAGUCCAACCUCAGCAAUCAUGUAUGGUUUUAGAGCGUUAUUGUUCAUUCAAAUGAAGAAACCUAUUGCUGCCAUCCACGAUGCCAAUGUUUCUCUAGAGGCCAGGACGCAAGCCACAGAGGGCUGUCAUCCACCACACACUGAAAGAAACACCAUGAAACACACGGACUAAGGACUACGCUGCUGCUGCUUGACGCCAGCGAGGAGCCCUGUGCUGUAUGUGAGGCCGUGGAAGGCCCACACAACACCUCAGUUCUGUUUUGGUCGUCUCCUUGGACGUGGUCGCUGAAAACAAGUUCGCACUUGUUGUGCCGACACUCACGGGAUGCAGCAGCCAGGAACCUGGUGGCUCAUAUCUGGUCGCCACCCAGCCAUUCCAGGGUUCAGCUGGUUGGGUCUGGUGCAUUUCCUGAUGUGUAUCAGCCUUAAGUAGGAUGGGGCGGCCUGGCCUACUGUCUCCCUCAUCGACCGCUUUGGGUUCGUCGUCACCCACCAUGCUCUCGCGCUGCGCUGCUGCUGCGUUGGCUUAUUUGUGUGUGAUAUUGUUUGAAUAAUAAAUUCUUGUGGUAUUCAGUGGCUGGAAAAUUGGAAUGAUUAGAAGUUGUAAUAUACGGUCGUAAUGUAUAGUUGUUCUCAUUAUGUCUUUGGUUCCAACUUCUGAGUCUAAGUUGGUUUGUGUAUUUAUAUAUCACAAGGGUUGUGCUCGAAGCAAUUUUAGUGUCAAAUAUUUUGCUGUGUGAUCUAAUUGUCCAAAUAAUUAAAAUGGAAGGUGUUAUUUUUUUGAUUAACUUGUAAUAAUUGGAUAAUGAGCAUAGCCGUGUCUUGACUAUAAAGAAAAUCCCAUGGUCAGUACU